This 1064-nucleotide long non-coding RNA is filed under the name Monodelphis domestica (gray short-tailed opossum). RNAcentral's name for it is "lncRNA (ENSMODG00000049561.1)". Lineage: Eukaryota; Metazoa; Chordata; Mammalia; Didelphimorphia; Didelphidae. The record is from RNAcentral.
CUGGCAACUGAUACUCUCAAUCUGGCUUGCAGACAGAAAGGCAGUGUGGAAGUGUCUUCAUGAAGGAAACCAACUUUGGAGCUGCCUGGGAAUUGGAUCAUCUUUAAGAAGAGGUUGAGUUUCUCCCUCCUUCGUGAUGCAUUGCUGAUACAGAAUCCUAAGGAGAAAGCCUCCCAAUCCAGCCCCACUCUAAAUCAGGGGCCUCUCCCUGAAGACAAUCUGGAACCAUCUAUUUUCUUUAUUGAAGUUGGAAGCUGAAAAGAUCAGGAAAGACUUCUUUCACAAAUUUUCACCAACUCCACCCUUCAGGCUGACAAGGAUCAUUGAAUGAUCAGUCUCUUCCAGUGAAGAAAGUCUUAUAUUAUAAAGCCUGUGAUUUAUUGAAAUUCAGUCUUGAAGCACUGAAGAUUAUUCCCCUAGUAUUGGAACAAGGUACAGAAGAAAUCAAGCUUCUCUUUUAUUCAAAAAUUCUUUGGAAAAUAUUCAUAGCUGUGCUCUUUGUGGUGGCCAAAAAUUGGAAAACGAGGGGAUGCCCAUCAAUUGGGGAAUGGCUGAACAAAUUGUGGUAUAUGUUGGUGAUGGAAUAUUAUUGUGCAAAAAGGAAUAAUAAAGUGGAGGAAUUCCAUGGAGACUGGAACAACCUCCAGGAAGUGAUGCAGAGCGAGAGGAGCAGAACCAGGAGAACAUUGUACACAGAGACAAACACACUGUGGUAUAAUUGAACGUAAUGGACUUCUCCAUUAGUGGCGGUGUAAUGUCCCUGAACAAUCUGCAGGGAUCUAGGAGAAAAAACACUAUCCAUAAGCAAAGGACAAACUGUGGGAGUAGAAACACCGAGGAAAAGCAACUGCCUGACUACAGCGGUUGAGGGGACAUGACAGAGGAGAGACUCUAAACGAACACUCUAAUGCAAAUAUUAACAACAUGGCAAUGGGUUUGAAUCAAGAACACAUGUGAUACCCAGUGGAAUCAUGUGUUGGCUACGGGGAGUGGGAGGGAGGAAAAGAAAAUGAUCUUUGUCUUUAAUGAAUAAUGCAUGGAAAUGAUCAAAUAAAAUACUAUAA